This 1567-nucleotide unclassified non-coding RNA is filed under the name Hevea brasiliensis (rubber tree). The record is from RNAcentral. Lineage: Eukaryota; Viridiplantae; Streptophyta; Magnoliopsida; Malpighiales; Euphorbiaceae.
UACAAACUUCUCCAAAUUCUAGACUUUAUGCAAAAUCUUGUGUCACUUGACUAUGCUACGUGAACAUUUUUAACCACAAUCUAUUGAUUUUGAAAGAAAAAAAUAAGUAACACGUCGGAAGUUGCACUUGCACGAAAAUCAGUCGACGGUGGAAUAGUCAACUAACUUCGGCUGAGACAGCGUGAGGGAUGUCGUCGCUUACGGUGGUCACCGAUUCCGGCGAACGAGCUCCGCUUCUUUGUAUUUCUUCGCCAGAAUUGUCGCACUCGCACCCUAGGGAUGGAGAAAUAGUCUCUUCGUCCUCGGACGAGAUUGCCGUAUCAAAACCUACGCUCAGUGAUCCCAAACAACGUUUAGUCUCUCUCGAUGUCUUUAGAGGCCUUACCAUCGCUUUAAUGAUUUUGGUUGAUGAUGCUGGAAAGGCUUUCCCGUCCAUAAACCACUCUCCAUGGUUCGGAGUGACCCUUGCUGACUUUGUGAUGCCAUUUUUCCUAUUUAUCGUUGGUGUUUCUGCAAGUUUAGUAUUCAAGAAAGUUUCCUGCAAGCCACAAGCUACAAAAAAAGUCUUACUGAGGACAGUUAAGCUCUUUAUUUUGGGAGUAGUCCUUCAAGGUGGGUAUUUCCACGGCCGCAACAACCUGAGUUAUGGAGUUGAUAUUGCUAAAAUUAGAUGGAUGGGAGUGUUACAGAGGAUUUCCAUCGGUUAUUUAUUUGCUUCAAUCCUGGAAAUUUGGUUUGCCAAUGAUUAUCCUGUUGAUUCAUCAAAGGCAUUUAUCAGGAGAUACUUCUUCCAAGCGCUGGCUGGAAUGUUAAUUGGUUUGUCGUACCUGAUUUUGGUAUAUGGCCUCUAUGUUCCAGACUGGUUCUUUGAAAUAUCUAGUCUUAACAUGGAAUCACGAUCACCAGUUUCAGGAUAUCGAUUGAGUACUCAAACUGUUAACUGUGGAGUGAGGGGCAGUCUCGAACCUCCUUGCAAUGUUGUUGGUCUGAUUGAUAGGCUUCUUCUUGGUGAAAAACACCUUUAUCAACGUCCUGUCUACAGAAGAACCAAGGAAUGCAGUGUCAACUCUCCUGAUUAUGGACCUCCACCAUCAAAUGCACCUGGAUGGUGCCUUGCUCCAUUUGACCCUGAAGGAAUCUUAAGUUCUUUGAUGGCAACCGUUACGUGUCUUGUGGGCUUGCAUUUCGGCCACAUUUUUGUGCAUGUUAAAGAUCACCGGCAGAGGGUAAUCUUUUGGUCUGUAUUUUCUGUAUUUCUAACACUUGCAGGAUAUGUAUUGGAGCUUGCAGGUGUUCCUCUUUCUAAACCGCUUUACACAUUGAGCUAUAUGUUCAUCACGGCUGGAGUAUCCGGUUUGCUCUUAGUAGUUCUUUAUUACAUUGUUGAUGUCAAAUGUUUUCAGAAGCCAAUGAUAUUAUUUCAGUGGAUGGGAAUGAAUGCUCUCAUCCUCUAUGCUAUGGCUGCUUGUGACCUCUUUUCUGGGGCAGUUCAAGGUUUCUAUUGGUAUUCACCUGAAAACAACUUGGUUGACAUUACAGAAAGGUUCAUUCAAGCAGCAUUUAAUUC